UGUCAAAAUUUUUAUCAAUUUGUAUUGUUAAAAACUAGCAUAAUUGACGGAAUAACUAGAUAGUAUCUCAUAUUUAUGUACAGGGAUCAGUUUUUAACAGUAGGAAUGAAUAAAAAUUUUAAUU
Gossypium arboreum is the source of this 124-nucleotide non-coding RNA. The record is from Rfam. Lineage: Eukaryota; Viridiplantae; Streptophyta; Magnoliopsida; Malvales; Malvaceae.